Molecule: long non-coding RNA, 601 nt
Organism: Brachypodium distachyon (stiff brome)
Lineage: Eukaryota; Viridiplantae; Streptophyta; Magnoliopsida; Poales; Poaceae
Exons: 2
Source: RefSeq, a predicted model, not a curated record
AGGAAUGGAGCUGCUAGAGGUAGUCCUGUCACCGGAUGGCUCGUCGUCAAUGGUGAUGUGAGGAAUUGGGCUUUUCGUCUUUUGUUAAAAUAGUAUGGCGAAUGAAUUUUCAAUACUGCAGCUCGGCUAAGCUCGGCUUCAGCUCUCUUUACUGGUACUAGCUCCAGCCUGCUUGUGUGUCUCCCGGAUAUUCUUUGCCUCUUUUUUAUCGAAGUGACAGGUCAGUUUUGUUCUCUAGUUUGCCCAUCACUUCGAAAUUGGUAGUCUCUUUCUCUCAGAAAAAUGAGAAAUAGGAGUACCUGCCAGCCACUGAGCAACUGGAACACUGGAAGCAAUGACCGGGGCUCUUGGAGGCCAAUGGCUGCUGCUGAUUAAUGUUAUGGUUGAUCUUAUCAUGAUAGAAAUUGGUCGGUCUCCUUUUUAUCCAGUGUUUAAUUCGUAUCUUAUCUUUUGGCUCCUUUUUUUAUGUGCCAUGCUGACACACUCAGCGACUGAAGAUAUCUUGGAGCAUAGUGUAUUAGCUAUUCUGUCGAAUCUGUUUUAAGCCGUUUGUCUGUUGCAUAUCAUGGCACAAGACAUAGUCAGAAUUCAGAAUUGAUUA